RNAcentral lists this ribosomal RNA (540 nucleotides) under Aureobasidium pullulans. RNAcentral describes it as "partial large subunit ribosomal RNA". It matches the Rfam family "Eukaryotic large subunit ribosomal RNA", at positions 76 to 632 of the family's 3401-position model. Lineage: Eukaryota; Fungi; Ascomycota; Dothideomycetes; Dothideales; Saccotheciaceae. The record is from RNAcentral.
UGCCCUAGUAACGGCGAGUGAAGCGGCAACAGCUCAAAUUUGAAAGCUAGCCUUCGGGUUCGCAUUGUAAUUUGUAGAGGAUGAUUUGGGGAAGCCGCCUGUCUAAGUUCCUUGGAACAGGACGUCAUAGAGGGUGAGAAUCCCGUAUGUGACAGGAAAUGGCACCCUAUGUAAAUCUCCUUCGACGAGUCGAGUUGUUUGGGAAUGCAGCUCUAAAUGGGAGGUAAAUUUCUUCUAAAGCUAAAUAUUGGCGAGAGACCGAUAGCGCACAAGUAGAGUGAUCGAAAGAUGAAAAGCACUUUGGAAAGAGAGUUAAAAAGCACGUGAAAUUGUUGAAAGGGAAGCGCUUGCAAUCAGACUUGUUUAAACUGUUCGGCCGGUCUUCUGACCGGUUUACUCAGUUUGGACAGGCCAGCAUCAGUUUCGGCGGCCGGAUAAAGGCUCUGGGAAUGUGGCCUCCACUUCGGUGGAGGUGUUAUAGCCCAGGGUGUAAUACGGCCAGCCGGGACUGAGGUCCGCGCUCGGCUAGGAUGCUGCGUA